Cyanistes caeruleus (blue tit) is the source of this 2646-nucleotide long non-coding RNA. NCBI's taxonomy places the organism in Eukaryota, Metazoa, Chordata, Aves, Passeriformes, Paridae. The record is from Ensembl.
AUGCAGUUCAGCUUAUAUUUAUGAAGCCCUGGUAAAAUGUUAAGCACUCUAGUAGUGCUGAAGAUUAAUAUUAUUAUGCUCUGCUGAGCACACAGCUCUUUCAAUAGGCAAUCCAAACAGGUCUUGACAGAGUCUGGAUAGGAAAACAACACCAAGAAACCCCUUGUUGCAUUUUUUCCUGCAAGCAAAAGGCUGAGAUGUAUCUGGCUGGAGGUUACUCUUUCCCUGUGUGUUUCUCUUAAAUCUGUGAGUCACCACAUAACUCACAGGAAGAAAGGUAAAGAAGAUGUCUUUUUUCAUAUUUUUUUACAGCUCUGAUGCCUCUUCAUGUUCACAGUAAGUGCAGAAAAACUGUACUUGCUGUGAUUUCUUUUGAUCUUGGACUGGCACCUGCUGGUGCAGGGAACUGGAGGCACUGUGAUGAAUGAUGGCUCAGCAGCAGCCAGCCACACUGAGGUUAGAGAUCGCGGAGUUGAUGAGCAAAGUUAAGGUGCCCCUCCCUGGGGCUCAGGCAUGGAGAUGGAGAGGCUGCAGUCUCCAGCAUCCCUGGCAACACACAAGGUACCAACCUCGGAAACAUUUGCGCUCUGCAGAGGCUUCAUCACUCAAAGCAAGGCCCAGUCUGUAUUUGGACCCUGGCUCACCUCACUUGGGACUGCAGGAGGUGAGAGGGCAGUGCCCCACACAGGUAGUUCCAGGGGAGAACCUGCAGCAGCCGUGAUGUGACAAUGGAUGUGUGUGCAGGAGCCUCCCAAGGCACAGCACAGCUGGCAGGCAGACUGCCUGCAAGGAGGGCUGGGUGCAUCGUUUGUACUUAGGGGAAUUAGCAAGUAAAAGCAUCUGGGAGAUCUCAGUCUAGCAAAGCAUUCAAGUACCUGUUAAAAUUUAAUCAAAUCAAUAGUUUGUUGACUUUGGUGGAACUAAUUAUGUGCCUCAUUUUCAGGAUGUUUUUAAGUGCUUGGCUGGAUUCAUGUUUGAAAUAUAAGUUAGUACUGAGUUUUGUGUAUUCUAAUGCAGGUAAGUGUGGAGAAAACAGAAGGCAAUACCACCCCUAACAUGAAUGCUACUAAACUUGUUUUGGAAGAAUCAGGUAAUUGCAGUUCAAGGUGGAAAGCUAGCCAUUUGUUUUGCAUGAGAACAUGUUUUACAGUUUCCUCUCCUAGCUCCCUUUAGGACACUGCCAUUAUAGUAUUUUAUUUACCUUGCCCAUCUCCAAGACCCUUCUACUUAUUUCCUCCCUUGUUUUACUGUUCUGGGAACUGGAGUUAAAAGCAAAACAGACCCUUGGAUCUGCAGCAAGCUGGAUUAACUGGGAUAAGCAGCCCUCCCUCUCCUCCCCUGCUCUGCUGUUUGCAGCUGAGUGAUAACAUCAACCAGCCCUUGUUCCUUGCACUGUCCCAUGUGUUUUUUCUUUCUGCUUUUUUUUUUUAACCUGUGACUGGCUUUAAUUCCACAUGCGCCAGUGAACAGCAGCUGCUAAUGCUUGAUCUAACCACUAUGAGAGAAAAGCUUUUACACAGCCUGCAACCUGAGCUUCUGCAAACACAAUUCAAAACUCCAGCUGGUCAAGGUGCACCUCUGCUCACAUUUCCUUUUAUCAGAGGGCUGCAGGGGAUCGUUCUGGGCAGAUUAUUUACUCUCCCCUGUAUGCAGCCUUGCAUUUCAUAUUGGAGCUUGACACCCAGUAACUAAACAGAUAAAUAGUCUUGAGUAAAAAAAAUACUUGCUUUUUGUAGGAUAUACUUAGAUUAUUAGGGGAUCACACACUGUUUGUUUAUUUUAAUAAGCAGGCAGGAGCCAAGACGUGGAUGCUUGUCCGCACCAAAACUCUCUCCCUGUUUAUUUUCAAUCCUUUUUGCCAGCAUAGCUGAGAAUCCAACAUGAGUGAAAAUAAGAAUGUCAGGCUCCAAAUUCCUCAAGGUAUGGUGGUAAAGCCAACAUAGUUGAUGUAGUUUGGUUACUGCCUGGUGGUAUUUAAAAGAACUUUGAAAAGCGGUCUGACCCACAGUACAGGCUGGUGCUGAAGGUUCUGUAUCCAGAGCAGGAAGGUAAGAAAAGCCAAACACUAUGAGAAGACCAAAAUCAGUGGAGGAAAACCACAUACACGUAUGCAGGAGGAGCAUGAAAAGGCUGUCAAGCCUGUUUCCUUCAGGCUUUCUUCACUGCUUUUACUGGCUGGCAAGGAGAAGUGCUUUUUGCAAUGCAGUGGCUGAGACCUGGGCUGGGUCUCACAGACAGGCAGGGGAGACCCUGCUCCUCCUCCUCCAGUGAUUGCAGAGGAAGGCAACGAAGCUUUCUUUUAGCCUCUGAGGUGAGGCAUGAGUCCAAGCCUCUGCCUCUUUAGUUGAUACCCUCUACUCAGCAAAGAAGCAAAAAUGUCCUUGAAAUGUGUGGACAUGAUAGGCACUUGUUUGCCUUGGGUGUCCCCAGGGAAUUCUCAGCUAGUAUAGAUCCUUCUGCAUUGCACCAGUUUGGGGAACAUUAUAGAGAUCCCUCUUGCUUUAUAACCAACCGUGUUACGUAAAGCAUCUGGAUGUGCUACCCUCUGAUGAAAAACCCUCUACAGGAAGAAAUUUGGCAGAGGACAUCAAGACCAGGCCAUUUUGAGCAAAUAAAAGAACCUAAAGCAAGACUUUGAAGUCUGAC